GACGAACGCUGGCGGCGUGCCUAAUACAUGCAAGUAGAACGCGGAAGGCGGAGCUUGCUCUUCUGGAUGAGUUGCGAACGGGUGAGUAACGCGUAGGUAACCUGCCUGGUAGCGGGGGAUAACUAUUGGAAACGAUAGCUAAUACCGCAUAACAGUAGAUGUUGCAUGACAUUUGCUUAAAAGGUGCAAUUGCACCACUACCAGAUGGCCCUGCGUUGUAUUAGCUAGUUGUUGGGGUAACGGCUCACCAAGCGGACGAUGCAUAGCCGACCGGCGAGGGGGAGAGGCCACACUGGGACGGGGACACGGCCCAGAAUCCUACGAGAGGGAGCAGGAGGGAACCUUCGGCAAAGGACGGAAGGCUGACCGAGCAACGCCGGGUGAGUGAAGAAGGUUGUCGGAUCGUAAAGCUCAGUUGUAAGAGAAGAACGAGUGUGAGAGUGGAAAGUUCACAUUGUGACGGUACCUGAACAGAAAGGGACGGCUAACUACGUG
This 495-nucleotide ribosomal RNA is filed under the name uncultured bacterium. RNAcentral's name for it is "partial 16S ribosomal RNA". It matches the Rfam family "Bacterial small subunit ribosomal RNA", at positions 28 to 507 of the family's 1533-position model. The record is from RNAcentral.